Molecule: long non-coding RNA, 228 nt
Filed under: Elaeis guineensis (African oil palm)
Lineage: Eukaryota; Viridiplantae; Streptophyta; Magnoliopsida; Arecales; Arecaceae
Description: long non-coding RNA (EGUI_LNC068773)
Source: RNAcentral
GUACUCUUCUCCACUAGAAGAGCAAUCACUAAAGACUCGUAUGAAGGGAGAAGCGAUGCCAGCAAAAGCAGCGUCCUGGUCUUCUCCUCAACAUUCUCACUAACGCUAAGGAGGUCGGUGAGGAUCUUCUGAAAGUGACUUAGAUGCUCCUGCACGCUCUGUCCCUCAGUCAUCCAUAGUUGGUAGAACUACCUCCAGAGGAAAAGAGUAUGGGUGAGAAAUUUUGUC